AAGUCGUAACAAGGUUUCCGUAGGUGAACCUGCGGAAGGAUCAUUAACAAAAUUUUCCAAUCAAAUGACAUCUCGUGCCGAUUCCAAAGGCCGGAUGUUAUACCCCAAACUGUGACGAACUUGUUUUUUUCAAAUGAAAAAUUGCUGGUGCAGUUACAAGAGUUGGAUUAUCCAGCUCUCUAAUUUGCAUAAGCUUUUUUCGUUUUUUUUCUUUUUUUUUCCAAAAAACCCAAUGAAACCUUUAUUGACUGAAACAAUCAACUUGUUCUAACGAACGGUUGAUGAAACUCGAAUGAGAAAAACAACUCUUAACAACGGAUAUCUUGGCUCUC
Molecule: unclassified non-coding RNA, 332 nt
Filed under: fungal sp.
Lineage: Eukaryota; Fungi
Description: partial internal transcribed spacer region
Rfam family: Eukaryotic small subunit ribosomal RNA (bases 1-46)
Source: RNAcentral